UCCUGGUUAGCUCAAUUGGUAGAGCGACCACCCCGGAAAGCCGUUGGUCCCGGGUUCGAACCCCGGACCGGGAC
This 74-nucleotide transfer RNA is filed under the name Rhipicephalus sanguineus (brown dog tick). RNAcentral's name for it is "transfer RNA proline (anticodon CGG)". It matches the Rfam family "tRNA". Rfam says of the family: Transfer RNA (tRNA) molecules are approximately 80 nucleotides in length. Their secondary structure includes four short double-helical elements and three loops (D, anti-codon, and T loops). Further hydrogen bonds mediate the characteristic L-shaped molecular structure. tRNAs have two regions of fundamental functional importance: the anti-codon, which is responsible for specific mRNA codon recognition, and the 3' end, to which the tRNAs corresponding amino acid is attached (by aminoacyl-tRNA synthetases). tRNAs cope with the degeneracy of the genetic code in two manners: having more than one tRNA (with a specific anti-codon) for a particular amino acid; and 'wobble' base-pairing, i.e. permitting non-standard base-pairing at the 3rd anti-codon position. Lineage: Eukaryota; Metazoa; Arthropoda; Arachnida; Ixodida; Ixodidae. The record is from Rfam by way of RNAcentral.